This 510-nucleotide ribosomal RNA is filed under the name Caulophacus discohexaster. RNAcentral's name for it is "partial 16S ribosomal RNA". The record is from RNAcentral. Lineage: Eukaryota; Metazoa; Porifera; Hexactinellida; Lyssacinosida; Rossellidae.
UUCGACUGUUUACCAAAAACAUAGCUAAUAGAAAAAAUUAUUAUUAGUGAUGCCUGCUCAAUGAUUAAACAAUAACCACUAAAAAUAAUUAAAUAGCUGCGGUAACACCUGACCGUACAAAGGUAGCACAAUAAAUCGCCUACUAAUUAUAGGAUAGAAUGAAGGUAAAACGAAGAUCUUACUGUCUCAAGACCAUAAAAUUUAAAAUAGAAUGUGUGUGUAAAUCCACACUAAGACGGCAAGACGAUAAGACCCUAAGAACUUUACCUAAAAUUUAAAUAAAAACACCAUCCCUAAAUUCUAAGUUUCGUUGGGGCAACGAUCUUUAAAAAAGUAACUAAGAUUAACCAAUCAAUAAAAAAAAACAUGAAAAUAAUAUAAAGAUAAGACCCAUUAAAAAAAAUAAAAAAAUUAAUGAUAAUAUAAUAAAAGUUCCUUAGGGAUAACAGCGUCAUAUCGUUUCAAGACAACCAUCCAAACGAUGUUUGCGACCUCGAUGUUGAAUUAYRA